Molecule: long non-coding RNA, 1416 nt
Organism: Pyrus x bretschneideri (Chinese white pear)
Lineage: Eukaryota; Viridiplantae; Streptophyta; Magnoliopsida; Rosales; Rosaceae
Exons: 2
Source: RefSeq, a predicted model, not a curated record
UUAUCAAACUAAAAUUUGUCGGUUGACUUCGCAAGACCCAAGUCCGCGGAUGGUAGAAACGACGUGCCAGUUAAGCGCGCGAGUGAACACGCAAGGCGUGCUUGCAAAGAAAGAAAGUCGACGUAGACCGAAAUAGUUAACGGUGGGGGACACAGCAAUUCCUGGGUUUCCGAUUUCCUCCUUUUGGUAACACGCACCGACGCGGCAGACUGAAGUGAGCUUUCCGCCUUCCCUCUUUUCGCCGUCGCUGUUUCCUCGUUUUCGUCAAAAACCCCGGGAAACCUAGGAAUUUCUUGGUACGAGAUUGCUUGUUUAUCUACUCUGGUCUCUCGAAGUUUUCUGUUCUGCUGCGAGAUUUCGAAUCGUGGUUUUCGGGUGGCAUUGAAUUUUGUUAAUGACUGGUGAGCAUUGUUUAAUUUCUUAUACUGCGGAUUAUGGGGCCAGACAGAAAAAAAGCUCUACCGCCAGAGAAUGGAAGAGUCAUUGCAGCUGAAACACUGCCUAGAAAGCCAAGUAGUAUUGACGAGGGAGGUGGGAAAGCAAUGGUGCAUAUGCACCAUGGUAUGGGUUCGACUCCACUGACUUCCGUACUCCCUCAUAACUAACUAUUUAACCCUCUCACGCUGUCGUUCAUAAAAAAAGAUGGUUAUUCUAGUAAUUAAUUUUAAAUUCAAUAAUUAUUAUCUUCUAUCUGAUGCUAUAAUCGUACAGCGGGAUCGGAUCCUCUCUCUUGUAAUUAACAAAAAUAAGUGAAUCAGACGGUUUUAUCGAGAAAUUAGGCUUCGAAGAUGUGGUAAUUAUUGGGCCUUCCGAGAGAGGAAAUAAAAGCCCGAUCUCUCCUUUUGAAGUUCGGCCCGUUUUAGUUUGGGAGCAAUAACACUACUCAUUUCUCUUCGAAUCAUACUUUUUCUUGUUUCGUCAUUUUCGAAUUAUACUUUCCACUUCUUUUUUUUUUUCAGUUACUUUAAGGGCAAAUGCCCAAACUAAGUACCUGGCAAUCAAAUGGGACCAGUGAGGUUAUUCUGUGGUCACGAAUAAUCUAACGACAUAUCCUUUACUUUUUUGCACACGUAUUUUUUUUAUGUACACUAAUGUUUAUUUAUAUUUUCGUAUAUAAGUACAGGUGUGAUCACUGAUCACUUCAUGGUCACAAUCUCUUUUGCAGAUGUUGAGGUUCAUUCAUAUACACGUGCAACUUUGGAAAAAGCAUGGGCACUGAUCAACUUGGUAUGUUCUUAUGUGGCAAUUGAAUCUAGUAAUUGAAAGAACAUGUUAAGUACCAAAUUAAGUUAAAACCAUUUCCAACGUGGUUGAUUAGGUAUAGUGGAUGCAAAAGGGGCCAAAGUCGGAAGAGAUUUGUGAGGAAUAGUUUGUCUGUAUGGAGUUGAAGUCAAGUGAAUGAGAGAUUCAUCAUCA